AUGAACGCUGGCGGCGUGCCUAAUACAUGCAAGUCGAGCGAACGGACGAGAAGCUUGCUUCUCUCAUGUUAGCGGCGGACGGGUGAGUAACACGUGGAUAACCUACCUAUAAGACUGGGAUAACUUCGGGAAACCGGAGCUAAUACCGGAUAAUAUUUUGAACCGCAUGGUUCAAAAGUGAAAGACGGUCUUGCUGUCACUUAUAGAUGGAUCCGCGCUGCAUUAGCUAGUUGGUAAGGUAACGGCUUACCAAGGCAACGAUGCAUAGCCGACCUGAGAGGGUGAUCGGCCACACUGGAACUGAGACACGGUCCAGACUCCUACGGGAGGCAGCAGUAGGGAAUCUUCCGCAAUGGGCGAAAGCCUGACGGAGCAACGCCGCGUGAGUGAUGAAGGUCUUCGGAUCGUAAAACUCUGUUAUUAGGGAAGAACAUAUGUGUAAGUAACUGUGCACAUCUUGACGGUACCUAAUCAGAAAGCCACGGCUAACUACGUG
RNAcentral lists this ribosomal RNA (496 nucleotides) under uncultured bacterium. RNAcentral's name for it is "partial 16S ribosomal RNA". It matches the Rfam family "Bacterial small subunit ribosomal RNA", at positions 29 to 507 of the family's 1533-position model. The record is from RNAcentral.